UGCUAAGAAAUCCACAUGGCUGAUGUGCUCAAGUGCCCGUGUCAUGACUUCAGGGGAAAAACAAACAAAUAAAACAAACAACAACAAGAAGAAAGCUAAAUCUACCUAAGCUGAAGUGGCAGUGGAAAAGAUCUUGCCUGUGGAAGGAAAGGAAGCAGCGCUGUCUUCCAGUUAAUAACCACACUUGUGUUUACAAGACAACUGCUUUUACAAAACUGAAGAUCAUCAGAUGGGAACACUAACAACUUCAAUUUUAAAGUCCACUUCUGACCUAACAAGAAGCGUGGGAUACUUCAUUACAGAGGAUAUUCUACUGAAAUAUGAAACACACAUGAAAUCAUGAGCACUUAAGGAAAGUGCUCUUGUGGCCACAGCUAUCAUAUGAUAUUAAAACUGCAGCAUGACAGUAGUUGUUGUAAAUAAAUACAUAUUACAAUAAGUAAAAAAAAUGCAAUUACAAUUUCACAAUAUUUAUUUCUGUGAUCAAAUUUACAUACGAACUGCAAAGUAUGAGAAAUAUGAACCUUUGCAUAUACUCCCACAGACUGUGUAGAUAUAUCCACACAUUUAUGUGUACAGAUAUUAUAUUAAAAGACUGUUACACUUAUAAAAUAUUUUAGAGAAUAAUUUAUGUGGACAGGUUUAGAUAUUCAUUCUUACUCAGAAUGAUAAGCAAGCAGGCUGAAUAUAUUUGAAAAUGUAGUAAAUCAAGUUUUGGUCUUGCUAACACUAAUACACAUUCAUUUAGAUAAAUCUGAUGAGAAUUUUACCCAACCAAUAUAUCUUUAAAAGCUAAUCAAGUGAAUCUCUUUAAUAGCAUCAAGCCUCAUUUGGAAAGUUCACAAUCCAUAAUUAGCUGCUUCUUUGAAAAUGUUUGCUAAAAUUGUAGUUUUGGAACAGAUUACAGUUCAAAUCUUACAUGUGCAUGAAAUAAUUCAUUUGCCCAAACACCCCAAUUUUAGACAUUACUUGCAAAUGAAAAUUACAUCCCACAUGAUUUUAGUAUUAGCUUUUAUAUGAGCACUAAAUAUAAAAUGGUAGUCUGACCUUUAAGAAAAACUGUAUCUAAUAACAAAAUUAAAGAACAGGUUUAAAGAUUUGGUCACUAGUCUUUAUAAAAGGGAAAAAAGAAAACAAAAUCCCUUGCAGUCACAUUCUAUCAUUCUCUUUCAACUAUUCUUUUAGGUUUCUUUCCACUAUAUUUAAUUUUAUUUCAUUAUAUGCAGGAAGGCUAAUAACCAACCAUUUUGAUUCUGUUCAUUUAUUUUCCCCCAUUUAGACCAUUUUUCUUACCCUGAUUCAUUUUGUAACCAAAUUCAUUUUAAUUUAAUUUGUUUCAUUAAAGCUAAGGUUUUCCAAUUUUUGAAAUGUAAGAGAGACUAAACAGAGUUACUUUAUCUUGCUAGGUCCAAAGGUCUUGCAGAAUACUCAGAUUUCAAUAGUAGUAUGUAAAUAGCAUGUAUUUUUUUUCUCUUGUGGAAAAAGGUGAAUUGGAUUAUUCCAUCAAAUUUUACAUUUUCUAACAAUACUGAUCUUUUCAAAAUCCUGUUUCCGUAAGUGUCAUUUUCCCCUAUGCUCCAGAGAACUGUCAAAAAAUUAUGGGAAACAAAACCAAAACACUUCUUUCACCAGAAAAUUUUCAUAAAGAAAAUAUCAGAAUGAGAUUGAAGUUCUGAAUCAACAUAUUUCAGGGUUUUACUUAUUUUCUUCUUAUUUGGAUGUGAGUAAUGACGUAGAGAUAGAGAAUUUAUUAUUCUGUCUUACCUGGACAAGUUGUCCCUUGAGUAUUUUUUUAUGUUGUCUAUGUUAUAUGACACAUUAAUAUUUCACUACAUCGCCAUCUUCAUUCUUCUCGGAAGCUCAGAGGAAGAGAAAAGAAGCACUCUCAUUUCUCUUCUCCUUUUCUGCAGACAUUUCUGCAGAUAUAGGCUUGAUAUUUUAGCAACGAGGACCUUAACUUUGCUUCUGAUGACUGCUGGCAAAAGACCCUAGAUAAACAUGCAUAAUAGUCAGCCAGACAGAAAAAUAACCACUGUGGGCAACAAAAUAAUAGGCGGAACAAAAAAAGGAUUGGGGUUAGCCAUAGCUCUGGUCAUCUGCCUGCUACAUGCAUUGGUAUCUUAAAUGCCCAAAAAAGGUGGUGUCAAAAUUUUAAUUUAGAUUAAGAACAUGACUUAGUAAGUGUAACAGAUUUAGAGAAAUGAUUCACAUGAAAAGGAUGUAACAUCGAAUGCUGCAAACUAUUGGGGAAGGAUAGUGUUAAAAGAGAGAAGUUAUUCCCCACUGUAUCAAGGAUGUGAUUUCAUUCUGAAGUCCAGUGUGCAGAGGAAUUUAGAAGUGAAGAAAGCCUGAGUAAUAACAAAAAGAAGGCACUAAUACAGCUGGCAAUGUGCUGGGGAUCUACUAUAAACCUUGGAACAGGAAUUAGCUGAAUAAGGCUUACUGGUUCUUUCCAACACAGCAUAGUAGUGUUAAUUAAGAAACUGCAUCUUUGGGUUGUGUAACUACAGAACCAGUCUCAAGAUAAAUAGAUACCUUAUUUAUUUAGCUCUCUAUGUUGUUAAAUUAUUUAAUGAACCUUAUUAUUGGUGUUAGAUGAAUAUGAAUUAAUAUACAUUGUAUUCUUGUGACUUUAUAAAUGUGGCAUAUGUUCAAAGCAUGUUCAAUCUAAAGCAUUGCUUCUUUUAGGGCAGCAGACCCCAGUAUGUGGAUGACUGACUUACAUUUAUUUACUAAAUCUACUAGAUAGGGAUUUUUCUUGCCUUAAUACUGAAGUACACAACUCCCAUUUCCCUGACAAACAGUCUCUGAUACUUCAAAAACCUUAGGACUGCCUGACUCAUUCUCUUCUUGUUAAAAGAGACUUAACUACAGAGGCAUCUGCCAGAAGACAAAAUAAGGAAUAGAAUCUAUCUAGCAAGUUCUUGUUACUCAUCAGUGGCAACUUGAUAUUAAAAAACAAACAAACAAAAACAAAAGAAAAAACAGAGAAAAACAAUCUAGUUGAAAAGAGCUGGUUUAGGACAUGAAGGUGAGGGCAAGACAGACAGAGGUGAGACCCUUGGAUAGGAGAUAAAAAAAUAAUAGAACAGCAGAUAUCAUCAAGGAACAUCCAGAGAAUGCAAAUGAAAAUAAUCUCCUUCAAAGAUAAAAGAUAUGGAACAAAUGGUCAUACUGUUGAAUAGAUUACAAAACUGAACAAGCAUCAAGAAGGUGAUGCUAUAAUAAACAAACAAAUAAAUAAGGAGUACUGUCUGUGGAAAACAUAAAAUAAUGCGUAGGGUUUACUACAGAAGAUUCUAAGACAUUGGUCAGUCAUAUAUAAGAAUACCGUGUUCAGCCUGGGGAAUCCCAGUUUGGGAGAGGCAUAGAUUGAAGAGAAAAAUAAGAGGAGGAAUAGAGGAAUAAGAAUGAAGACAUGCAGAAAAAGUGUAAUCUCAGAUGAGAGACCAAAAAAACCAAUAAAAAUAAACUUGAUCUAACUUGAUCUACAUAGGAAUAGACUGAAGGGAAUCAGGAAAAGCCAUCAUAACAGCUUUCAUCAUAAAAACUCCUCCAAAGAAAAAGUGUUACCUGUGGCCUUCCUGAAUGGUCCUUUAGAGAUAUGAGCUUUUCCAUGUCUAUGACAGAUAUAACAGGAUUAAAGUAUAGCAAAGGUAAUUCAGAUUACAUAAAUAAAAAGUCAUCAUAGCAGUAAAACCCUUGCAUUCAUUUCUUGGAAAUAUCAUAACAAUGCUAGAGGAAUACACCUGAAAUGAAAGAGAUAUAUUUGGUCUGAUUUUGGUAUAGAGAAUGAAUAAUGGUACUGUUUAAGCUAUUCUAAGAUUUCUAUGUCUGUGAUUUUUCUGGAUUGAUUAAGG
This 3860-nucleotide long non-coding RNA is filed under the name Gallus gallus (chicken). RNAcentral describes it as "lncRNA (ENSGALG00010012298.1)". Lineage: Eukaryota; Metazoa; Chordata; Aves; Galliformes; Phasianidae. The record is from RNAcentral.